This 1010-nucleotide ribosomal RNA is filed under the name Hemilucilia semidiaphana. RNAcentral's name for it is "eukaryotic LSU rRNA". It matches the Rfam family "Eukaryotic large subunit ribosomal RNA", at positions 51 to 883 of the family's 3401-position model. Lineage: Eukaryota; Metazoa; Arthropoda; Insecta; Diptera; Calliphoridae. The record is from RNAcentral.
GGGAGGAAAAGAAACUAACAAGGAUUUUCUUAGUAGCGGCGAGCGAAAAGAAAAUAGUUCAGCACUAAGUCACUUUGUCUUAAUGGCAAAUGUGAGAUGCAGUGUAUGGAAUGUCAAAUUUCUAGUAUGAGAAAUUAACGAUUUAAGUCCUUCUUAAAUGAGGCCAUUUACCCAAAGAGGGUGCCAGGCCCGUAUAACGUUAAUGAUUACUAGAUGGCAUUUCCAAAGAGUCGUGUUGCUUGAUAGUGCAGCACUAAGUGGGUGGUAAACUCCAUCUAAAACUAAAUAUAACCAUGAGACCGAUAGUAAACAAGUACCGUGAGGGAAAGUUGAAAAGAACUCUGAAUAGAGAGUUAAAUAGUACGUGAAACUGCUUAGAGGUUAAGCCCGAUGAACCUGAAUAUCCGUUAUAGAAAAUUCAUCAUUAUGAUUUUAAUAUUUAUAAUAUUAUAAUAAUGGUGUGCAUUUUUUCUAUAAAUGGACAUUGUAAUCUAUUAACAUGCAUAAAUUUAUCAUAAGAUCAAGAUACGAAGUUUAUUCAAAUUAUUUUGCUUGCAAUUUAACAUAGAAUAAACGUUCUUGAUUGGAUAAAGUGUUGAUAGAUUUAUUAUAUAUAGUGCUUAAAUAUUUAUAUUUUAUAAUAGCAUAUUAAUCAUUGAUUUUUAUGUUUAUUAUAUGCACUUAUAUGAUUAACAAUGCGAAAGAUUCAGGAUACCUUCGGGACCCGUCUUGAAACACGGACCAAGGAGUCUAACAUAUUUGCAAGUUAUUGGGAAUAAAAACCUAAUAGCGAAAUUAACAUAACUUAUAUAAUGGGAUUAAUUUUUAGCCUAUUUAUAGUCUAUUAAUUCAAUCCCGGGGCGUUCUAUACAGUUAUGUAUAAUAAUAUUUAUAUUAUUUAUACCUCUAACUAGAGCGUACCUUGAGCAUAUAUGCUGUGACCCGAAAGAUGGUGAACUAUACUUGAUCAGGUUGAAGUCAGGGGAAACCCUGAUGGAAGACCGAAACAG